Molecule: non-coding RNA, 30 nt
Filed under: Rattus norvegicus (Norway rat)
Lineage: Eukaryota; Metazoa; Chordata; Mammalia; Rodentia; Muridae
Source: RNAcentral
CACGUGAUUAUGAUCUUAAAGGUCAGCGAG